RNAcentral lists this ribosomal RNA (450 nucleotides) under uncultured bacterium. RNAcentral describes it as "partial 16S ribosomal RNA". It matches the Rfam family "Bacterial small subunit ribosomal RNA", at positions 354 to 796 of the family's 1533-position model. The record is from RNAcentral.
GUGGGGAAUCUUCCGCAAUGGACGAAAGUCUGACGGAGCGACGCCGCGUGAGUGAAGAAGGUCUUCGGAUCGUAAAACUCUGUUGUUAGAGAAGAACGUGCAUGAUAGUAACUGACCAUGUAAUGACGGUAUCUAACCAGAAAGCCACGGCUAACUACGUGCCAGCAGCCGCGGUAAUACGUAGGUGGCAAGCGUUGUCCGGAUUUAUUGGGCGUAAAGGGAACGCAGGCGGUUUUUUAAGUCUGAUGUGAAAGCCUUCGGCUUAACCGAAGAAUAGCAUUGGAAACUGGAAGACUUGAGUGCAGAAGAGGAGAGUGGAAUUCCAUGUGUAGCGGUGAAAUGCGUAGAUAUGCGGAGGAACACCGAUGGCGAAGGCAAUCCCCUGGGCCUGCACUGACGCUCAUGCACGAAAGCGUGGGGAGCAAACAGGAUUAGAUACCCGGGUAGUCC